UACAGAGGGUGCGAGCGUUAUUCGGAAUCACUGGGCUUACAGGGUGCGUAGGCGGUCUGUUAAGUAGGGUGUGAAAGCCCCCGGCUCAACCGGGGAAUUGCGCCCUAAACUGGCGGACUGGAGUGAGAUAGGGGUGUGCGGAACUUCCGGUGGAGCGGUGAAAUGUGUUGAUAUCGGAAGGAACGCCGGUGGCGAAAGCGGCACACUGGAUCUCAACUGACGCUGAGGCACGAAAGCCAGGGGAGCGAACGGG
This 253-nucleotide ribosomal RNA is filed under the name uncultured bacterium. RNAcentral describes it as "partial 16S ribosomal RNA". It matches the Rfam family "Bacterial small subunit ribosomal RNA", at positions 524 to 776 of the family's 1533-position model. The record is from RNAcentral.